Mytilus trossulus (common blue mussel) is the source of this 486-nucleotide long non-coding RNA. RefSeq lists it as uncharacterized. NCBI's taxonomy places the organism in Eukaryota, Metazoa, Mollusca, Bivalvia, Mytilida, Mytilidae. The transcript is spliced from 2 exons. The record is from RefSeq and is a predicted model, not a curated record.
AUUUUUAAUGACUGAAUUAUUUAAAUCUUUCAUCUAAAUUAAUUGAAUCAAAUUAAAUAGACACGUUAAGUGCUUAAAAAGUGGUCAACAUCUUUCGUCAGAUGAACCUGAGAGUUGAGGCCAAAAUUGGUCCUAAUACUGGACCUAAUCCUUUGAGGUAAUAUUUGAUGCUUCCAAUUCUGGAUUUUUUAGGGAGAGGUGAGAUGGAGGAAGGACAUCAACACACAAAAUAUGAUUUUUAAAAGAAAGAGACUUGGUAACAAAAUACAACUCUUUAAUUAUUUGCAGUGAUAGAAUAUGGACUAGAAACACUAAUGGACUGAGGAACAAGCUGUGCAAGGCAAGAGACUUAAAGGACACAGGACUCAAUAUGUUGUGCUAAAAACAAUCAAGAUAAGACAGAGAAAUGUGAUAUCAUACAACAAGAAACUUUUAUGUAACAACAAAACAAUAGAAAAUAAUCAGUGAUUAAAAUUAAAAACGAUA